RNAcentral lists this ribosomal RNA (253 nucleotides) under uncultured bacterium. RNAcentral describes it as "partial 16S ribosomal RNA". It matches the Rfam family "Bacterial small subunit ribosomal RNA", at positions 524 to 776 of the family's 1533-position model. The record is from RNAcentral.
UACGUAGGGGGCAAGCGUUGUCCGGAUUUACUGGGCGUAAAGAGCGCGCAGGCGGUCGUUCAAGUCGCGUGUGAAAGCCCCCGGCUCAACUGGGGAGGGUCACGCGAUACUGAUCGACUCGAAGGCAGGAGAGGGUAGUGGAAUUCCCGGUGUAGUGGUGAAAUGCGUAGAUAUCGGGAGGAACACCAGUGGCGAAGGCGGCCUUCUGGGCCUGUCCUGACGCUGAGGCGCGAAAGCGUGGGGAGCGAACCGG